Molecule: ribosomal RNA, 433 nt
Filed under: uncultured bacterium
Lineage: Bacteria
Description: partial 16S ribosomal RNA
Rfam family: Bacterial small subunit ribosomal RNA
Source: RNAcentral
AACGAACGCUGGCGGCAUGCCUAACACAUGCAAGUCGAACGAGACCUUCGGGUCUAGUGGCGCACGGGGUCGUAACGCGUGGGAACCUGCCCUUAGGUUCGGAAUAACUCCCCGAAAGGGGUGCUAAUACCGGAUAAUGUCUUCGGACCAAAGAUUUAUCGCCUUUGGAUGGGCCCGCGUUGGAUUAGCUAGUUGGUAGGGUAAAAGCCUACCAAGGCGACUAUCCAUAGCUGGUCUGAGAGGAUGAUCAGCCACACUGGGAGUGAGAAACGGCCCAGACUCCUACGGGAGGCAGCAGUGGGGAAUAUUGGACAAUGGGCGAAAGCCUGAUCCAGCAAUGCCGCGUGAGUGAUGAAGGCCUUAGGGUUGUAAAGCUCUUUUACCCGGGAUGAUAAUGACAGUACCGGGAGAAUAAGCUCCGGCUAACUACGUG